RNAcentral lists this ribosomal RNA (465 nucleotides) under Vreelandella stevensii. RNAcentral describes it as "partial 16S ribosomal RNA". It matches the Rfam family "Bacterial small subunit ribosomal RNA", at positions 338 to 795 of the family's 1533-position model. The record is from RNAcentral. Lineage: Bacteria; Pseudomonadati; Pseudomonadota; Gammaproteobacteria; Oceanospirillales; Halomonadaceae.
CCUACGUGAGGCUGCAGUGGGGAAUAUUGGACAAUGGGCGAAAGCCUGAUCCAGCCAUGCCGCGUGUGUGAAGAAGGCCUUCGGGUUGUAAAGCACUUUCAGUGGGGAAGAAAGCCUUGGGGCUAAUACCCUCGAGGAAGGACAUCACCCACAGAAGAAGCACUGGCUAACUCCGUGCCAGCAGCCGCGGUAAUACGGAGGGUGCGAGCGUUAAUCGGAAUUACUGGGCGUAAAGCGCGCGUAGGCGGUCUGAUAAGCCGGUUGUGAAAGCCCCGGGCUCAACCUGGGAACGGCAUCCGGAACUGUCAGGCUAGAGUGCAGGAGAGGAAGGUAGAAUUCCCGGUGUAGCGGUGAAAUGCGUAGAGAUCGGGAGGAAUACCAGUGGCGAAGGCGGCCUUCUGGACUGACACUGACGCUGAGGUGCGAAAGCGUGGGUAGCAAACAGGAUUAGAUACCCUUGUAGUC